CAGGUUCAGGGAUGCUGUAGUUUCUGAGCUGAGCUGCUUCAUUCAUUCAGACUGAGGGACAGACCUGCGCUCUGCGGAUCACUCAGCCCGGGCUCUGGAACUCUGGAUGGGCGCGCGGGGCUGAGCGGGGCUGCUGGAGCUCCUCUGCUGCCCGGACCUCGUUUUCCUCGCGCUGCGGCUGCAGAGUAUGAGCGAGCGGAGAGCGGAGCGGCGCGCAUGGCGGGCGGAGUGAGGAGGGCGCGCGGGGAGCCAGGCAGGUUCAGCCGCCGCCGCCGAUGCUGCUGCUGCUGCUGGAGCCCCGGAGCCGCACUGCUGCUGCUGAUGAUACUGCUGCUGAUGCGGCUACACAGCUGCACAGGGUCCAGCACGGAUGACUCAAGCUAUGAGGCGUCUGGAUCAUCAGUGUCUUCUCUGGACCAGGCCACCCUGGCCACCUCUCCUCAUCGUCCAACUGGCUUACUCAUGACCGAUGAGGAUCCCAUGUCAGUCAUGCAGUCGGAUCCUACCAGUCUGUCAAAGGGAAUCCGACAGGAACCAGCAUUCUCCUCCAUACUGACUCUACUGGCCGACUCAGCUGAAAAACCUCAGACUCCUCUUCAUUCAGGCUCUACUCUGGAAAGCUCAGUCAGGAUUGAUAAUGAAACCAGCCAAUCACCUUCAGAUGGUCCCUUUCAGAGAGCAGAGGCAUCCUUUAAGGCACCCUCUUCCUCUGCGGUGGUGCCCGGUGGCAACCAGUCCUCUGCCUCAGAGGACUCAGCGCUGGAGGACUGGGUUUCAGAGCUGAUGUCCUCUGUGGUUCAGACGUCCAGAGAGACCAGCCUCCGCUCGAAGAGAAAUGAAACUGGUUUGACUCGACAACGAAAGAAAAUCUCUACGUUUUCCAACAAAAACACACUGACACAAACAGAACCCACCACCCAGGAGACCACAGCCACCAGUGCCCCCCAGUUCACCACCGUCACCACCACCACUGUGGCCACCACCACUUCCACAACCACCACUCCCUCUCCAGUGACCACAACCACCCAACCCACCAGCACAACCCAGUUAACCAGCACCAGACCCACUACCACAACCACCACCACCACCACCACCACCUCUACUACUACAACUACAACCACUACUACAGCUAAACCUCCCAGAAUGAUAGCACCUGCCCGUCCCCCUACACGGACCACCACCACCACUACCACCACCACCCAGUCUCCCAGGACCAGUCCUACCAGAGCCACCACCACUACUACCACCACAACUCAGACUCCUCCAAUCAUCUGCAACAUCACUGAGAGAAUGUUGGUCAGAACAGGUAAGAUAGUAUCACACUCUCUCACAAAAUGUAUUUAUUUAUUUUUUUUCCU
RNAcentral lists this long non-coding RNA (1358 nucleotides) under Astyanax mexicanus (Mexican tetra). Its description in RNAcentral is "lncRNA (ENSAMXG00005011764.1)". The record is from RNAcentral. Lineage: Eukaryota; Metazoa; Chordata; Actinopteri; Characiformes; Acestrorhamphidae.